GGCCAGACUCCUACGGGAGGCAGCAGUGAGGAAUAUUGGUCAAUGGGCGCGAGCCUGAACCAGCCAAGUAGCGUGAAGGAUGACUGCCCUACGGGUUGUAAACUUCUUUUAUAAAGGAAUAAAGUGAGGCACGUGUGCCUUUUUGUAUGUACUUUAUGAAUAAGGAUCGGCUAACUCCGUGCCAGCAGCCGCGGUAAUACGGAGGAUCCGAGCGUUAUCCGGAUUUAUUGGGUUUAAAGGGAGCGUAGAUGGGUUGUUAAGUCAGUUGUGAAAGUUUGCGGCUCAACCGUAAAAUUGCAACUGAUACUGGCAGUCUUGAGUACAGUUGAGGUAGGCGGAAUUCGUGGUGUAGCGGUGAAAUGCUUAGAUAUCACGAAGAACCCCGAUUGCGAAGGCAGCCUGCCGCAGCGUUACUGACGCUGAAGCUCGAAAGCGCGGGUAUCGAACAGGAUUAGAUACCCGGGUA
RNAcentral lists this ribosomal RNA (466 nucleotides) under uncultured bacterium. Its description in RNAcentral is "bacterial SSU rRNA". It matches the Rfam family "Bacterial small subunit ribosomal RNA", at positions 329 to 792 of the family's 1533-position model. The record is from RNAcentral.